UCGACCGCCUGGGGAGUACGGCCGCAAGGUUAAAACUCAAAUGAAUUGACGGGGGCCCGCACAAGCGGUGGAGCAUGUGGUUUAAUUCGAUGCAACGCGAAGAACCUUACCUGGUCUUGACAUCCACAGAACUUAGCAGAGAUGGUUUGGUGCCUUCGGGAACUGUGAGACAGGUGCUGCAUGGCUGUCGUCAGCUCGUGUUGUGAAAUGUUGGGUUAAGUCCCGCAACGAGCGCAACCCUUAUCCUUUGUUGCCAGCGGUUAGGCCGGGAACUCAAAGGAGACUGCCAGUGAUAAACUGGAGGAAGGUGGGGAUGACGUCAAGUCAUCAUGGCCCUUACGACCAGGGCUACACACGUGCUACAAUGGCAUAUACAAAGAGAAGCGACCUCGCGAGAGCAAGCGGACCUCAUAAAGUAUGUCGUAGUCCGGAUUGGAGUCUGCAACUCGACUCCAUGAAGUCGGAAUCGCUAGUAAUCGUAGAUCAGAAUGCUACGGUGAAUACGUUCCCGGGCCUUGUACACA
RNAcentral lists this ribosomal RNA (524 nucleotides) under Klebsiella pneumoniae. RNAcentral's name for it is "bacterial SSU rRNA". It matches the Rfam family "Bacterial small subunit ribosomal RNA", at positions 865 to 1389 of the family's 1533-position model. Lineage: Bacteria; Pseudomonadati; Pseudomonadota; Gammaproteobacteria; Enterobacterales; Enterobacteriaceae. The record is from RNAcentral.